ACUUAGUGGCAAACGCUCUGCUUGGAUUCAUCAGAAGUCUUGUUGCCAGAUGCUCGUCUACCUGGAUAGUGAAGAACAACAGGACAAGCUUUUUGCAUUCUAAAGACUGUACUGCACAGAGGACCAACACAACUGAGCUUCACAGAUGAAGUGCUGUUCAUCUGUCAUGUUCUCUUUCCAGAGGCCAUCAUAUAUGACCUGUCUAUGCAGGACAAUCUGUCCCUGCAGGAGGCUGAGCAGGUCUUCUUCAGUGGUCCAGCUUACCAUCAAAGUGAAGUGGAGGAAUUUUGUCAAAGGAUUAAAAAAGACCUGAAGAAAGAAGGCAGACUGUUCAGUUGGAGGAAGUGAGAUCAGAGGUUUUGCAGUGGGAGCCAUAGACUUCACUUACUUUUGUGUGUGUGUGUGUGUGUGUGUGUGUUCAGCUUUUACUUUUUUUCAUAUUAUUGUGUAAAAUAAAUAUAU
Amphiprion ocellaris (clown anemonefish) is the source of this 462-nucleotide long non-coding RNA. RefSeq lists it as uncharacterized. The record is from RefSeq and is a predicted model, not a curated record. NCBI's taxonomy places the organism in Eukaryota, Metazoa, Chordata, Actinopteri, Pomacentridae. The transcript has 4 exons.